GCCUUCGUGGUGUAAUUGUAGCAUGCUCGGGACGUAAUCGAAAAGUCCAGGUUCGAGUCCCGGCGAGGGCA
Molecule: transfer RNA, 71 nt
Filed under: Stegodyphus mimosarum
Lineage: Eukaryota; Metazoa; Arthropoda; Arachnida; Araneae; Eresidae
Rfam family: tRNA
About the family: Transfer RNA (tRNA) molecules are approximately 80 nucleotides in length.
Source: Rfam by way of RNAcentral